This 466-nucleotide ribosomal RNA is filed under the name uncultured bacterium. RNAcentral's name for it is "bacterial SSU rRNA". It matches the Rfam family "Bacterial small subunit ribosomal RNA", at positions 329 to 793 of the family's 1533-position model. The record is from RNAcentral.
CGCCAGACUCCUACGGGAGGCAGCAGUGAGGAAUAUUGGUCAAUGGCCGGAAGGCUGAACCAGCCAAGCCGCGUGAGGGAGGAAGGCGCAGAGCGUCGCAGACCUCUUUUGCCGGGGGGCAAAAGGCCGGACUCGUCCGGUCCUGAGGGUACCCGGAGAAAAAGCAUCGGCUAACUCCGUGCCAGCAGCCGCGGUAAUACGGAGGAUGCGAGCGUUAUCCGGAUUCAUUGGGUUUAAAGGGUGCGCAGGCGGGCCUUUAAGCCGGCGGUGAAAUCGCGGGGCUCAACCCCGUACUGCCGUUGAAACUGCAUCCCUUGAGUGCGCGAGAAGUAUGCGGAAUGCGUGGUGUAGCGGUGAAAUGCAUAGAUAUCACGCAGAACUCCGAUUGCGAAGGCAGCAUACCGGCGCGCAACUGACGCUCAGGCACGAAAGCGUGGGUAUCGAACAGGAUUAGAUACCCCGGUAG